RNAcentral lists this ribosomal RNA (711 nucleotides) under uncultured bacterium. RNAcentral describes it as "bacterial SSU rRNA". It matches the Rfam family "Bacterial small subunit ribosomal RNA", at positions 94 to 823 of the family's 1533-position model. The record is from RNAcentral.
AGUGGCGGACGGGUGAGUAACGCGUGGGUAACCUGCCUUAUACAGGGGGAUAACAGUUGGAAACGACUGCUAAUACCGCAUAAGCGCACAGUGCCGCAUGGCACAGUGUGAAAAACUCCGGUGGUAUAAGAUGGACCCGCGUCUGAUUAGCUAGUUGGUGAGGUAACGGCUCACCAAGGCGACGAUCAGUAGCCGGCUUGAGAGAGUGAUCGGCCACAUUGGGACUGAGACACGGCCCAAAUUCCUACGGGAGGCAGCAGUGGGGAAUAUUGCACAAUGGGGGAAACCCUGAUGCAGCAACGCCGCGUGAGUGAAGAAGUAUUUCGGUAUGUAAAGCUCUAUCAGCAGGGAAGAUAAUGACGGUACCUGACUAAGAAGCCCCGGCUAACUACGUGCCAGCAGCCGCGGUAAUACGUAGGGGGCAAGCGUUAUCCGGAUUUACUGGGUGUAAAGGGAGCGUAGGCGGCUUGGCAAGUCUGAUGUGAAAGCCCAGGGCUCAACCCUGGGACUGCAUUGGAAACUGUCAGGCUAGAGUGCAGGAGAGGUAAGUGGAAUUCCUAGUGUAGCGGUGAAAUGCGUAGAUAUUAGGAGGAACACCAGUGGCGAAGGCGGCUUACUGGACUGUAACUGACGCUGAGGCUCGAAAGCGUGGGGAGCAAACAGGAUUAGAUACCCUGGUAGUCCACGCUGUAAACGAUGAAUACUAGGUGU